RNAcentral lists this ribosomal RNA (423 nucleotides) under Breviceps verrucosus (plaintive rain frog). RNAcentral describes it as "partial small subunit ribosomal RNA". It matches the Rfam family "Bacterial small subunit ribosomal RNA", at positions 868 to 1448 of the family's 1533-position model. Lineage: Eukaryota; Metazoa; Chordata; Amphibia; Anura; Brevicipitidae. The record is from RNAcentral.
AUCGCCAGGGAAUUACGAGCCCAAACUUAAAACCCAAAGGACUUGACGGUGCCCCACUCCCCCUAGAGGAGCCUGUUCUACAAUCGAUUAUACCCGCUAUACCCGACUGCUUUUUGAUCAAUCAGCUUGUAUACUUCCGUCGUAAGCUCACCAUGUUGAAUUGAUAUUGUAGUGAGCAUAAAGGAUUUACCUCUCCCCAAUACGUCAGGUCAAGGUGCAGCCCACAAAGCAGAUAGACAUGGGCUACAGUUUCUAUAAUAGAACCCACGAAAAGCCAUAUGAAAUAUGGCCACGAAGGAGGAUUUAGAAGUAAAAAGAAAAUAAGACGUCCUUUUUAACUAAGGUGCUGGGGCGCGUACAGACCGCCCGUCACCCUCUUCAACCAUACCCAAUUGAUUAUUAACCCAAUAAUUUAAUAUAGAA